AGUGCAGAAUGUGAAGGCCGUCUUUGACGCGGCCAUAAGGGUUGUGCUUCAACCACCAAAACAGAAGAAAAAGAAGAGCAAAGCACAAAAAGCCUGCUCAAUAUUGUGAUUGAGACUAGGUGUAAAGAGAUGUAACAAGCUUUUCCAACCUGCCUGUAUCUCCUUUUGUCCUUUGUUAGUUCUACUGGUAAGCAGCUGCUUUUGUUGGAUCAAUCCUCAUCGCAACUAACGAGACCCGGUCCUCAGUGAGCAUCUGGCGCUAUGGGUACCCUUAUAUUGGUGUCAUGAUCUCUAAUUACAAUCAUCAUCAUUGUGUCAUCUUAACUCCAGUUCUGAUUUUGCUUUAUCUAUUGUGAGACUCCACUUAGGAAACAAAAACAGAAAACCUGUCUUAACGGGCAGUUAUAUUUCUCGCUUUGCAAUUCCUUGGCAAGGCUUGCAUAUGUCUGUGCUCCUCUCAUGUUCUUGUCUUUUGCUAGUCACUCCUGCAGAAUUGGAUGAGCUUUUCUGAUAGAUCCUCCUCCCUCUCUCUCUCUCUCUCUCUCUAACACAAGCACGCACAUAAUGGCGGCCCACUAAGGAAUAAAAGUCAACAUCAAAACAGAAAAAGAGACAGAAGUCAUAUGUGCUGCAAGAUGGGAAGGUUUUGGGAUGACCAUUUUUUCCUACGCUUGAAUUGAGUUUGUAAACGUGACUAGCACUUUGCUCCUGCUUAGUAGUAACCUUUUAUGGACACCAAGGUGAACUUUAUUUGGACUGGUUCGAUCAUCUUACUCACUUCUCCCUUCACUGAACAAUUUGAGUACGGCUCAUCACCGUCUCGUGAUUAAAAUUUUCUUUUUCCAGGGUAAGAUCUCUUGGCAUCUAAAUAAACCUGUGAUGUGGGCGCUUUCUAUGACAAAAAUAAAAGAUUCACCAUCACCUCCUCAACUUAUUUGAUUGAGUCUGUGUGAAGCGGGCACAAUGGCCAGUCUCUUAGGUGGGAACUUCAUAUCGGAGUUGUAAUUAGCGGUAACAACAUACGAUUUGGCAUGAUUUAUGUAAAAGUUCUCCAUUGACCAUUGAGUUCUACUUUUGUGAUCCAAUAGUGGCAAACGCCUCAAGGAACAGUUUCUCAAGAACCGUCGAUGCCCUCAUUUUCGGUCGGUACGCCUGCGAUUAACAUUGAGCAACUGUGUUUCCCGCCACCCCCGACGACGUUUCCCCCAAUAGUUCUCUUUGCUCGUUUCUUACAUGGCCCUUGGCGUUUCUCCUUUCGACUUCUCUCUUUCGAAGCGCUUCUUUCGUUGUUCCUUCUUGUUCCAUCGUUCCUGUGUAUUCUCGUUGUUACCCGGAUUCCGCCCCUUCUAUAUGCAGCUGCAAGUCGGCAUAGUACCCAAUGCCCAUGACAAAGGCUAUCUAGUUACAUGGACAUAGGCAGUUCAAAAGACUAAAAUUGCUUACUCCUUACUCAUAAAAAAGGAUAGAAAAAACCCUGUAUGGGAUGAUUAGUUAAGGAUUUAAAAAGAGGGGUUAAUACCCUAAAAAACUCUAAACGGGUACACAUGUGACAAAUUUAUCCCAAACUAUAUUUUUUUUACCAUAAAAAACCAAAAACUAGUACAUUUGUGAUAAAUUUACCCCGACUGACCAUAAAAAAAUCCUAAAGAGGUACAUUUAUGACAAAUUUACCCCAAACUAAUUUAUUCAACCACAAAAAACCCAAAACUAAUAAAUUUGUGACAAUUAUACCCUCCGGUAAAUUGGAUUAAUACCACAAAAAAAAUCACAAAAAUUAUAAACUAUGACAAACGGAGUGUAAAAUCCCAAAUCGAUAUACCAAUCAACCGUCAAGUGUCAUUUAACUUAAUUAAAAUUUAAUGAAAAUUAACAGAGGGUAAAUUUAUUACAAGUGUACCGGUUUGGGGUAAAUUUGUCAAAGAUGUACCAGUUUAGGGUUUUUUAUGAUCAAAAAAAUAGUUUUUGGUAAAUUUGUCACAAGUGUACCAGAUUUGAGUUUUUCAAGAUAUUAAUCUUAAAAAGAAUAUAAAAGAAUCCUAGGCGAAUUGAGCGUACUAUACGGUGAACGUGGAACAUAACCAAUCAUAUAUAUGUACAGAGCAUAUAUGCAAUCAAUGUGGUAUGUCUUUUUGUGAGCUCUUAAGAGAGUGAACUGCUUGAUUUGUUAAAUAUAUAUAUAUAUAUAUAUUUAUUUAUUUAUUUAUUUAAAAGAAUAAGAAGAAGAAGUUGAUAGAGGACAUGGAGCCGCAAAAAAGUUGAUAGAUACCCCCACAAUUAUAUACCAAAUUAGUCCGAUAGUGGCAUGUUCAAUUCUAGGUGAUUAAUUGACGGAAUGCCAAUGGGCCAACAAUACAUUAAGUAUCAUUUUUGGUUAGGCUUACUUUCUGUCCGAAUUACCACGGAAAGCGAUUCAAACAAGGACCAAACAUCUAACCAAAGAACAUUUCAGCACGCGGUGCCAUUCCAAGCGAAACAAUCUCAAGCGAUGUGCAUACUUCAACAUAUAUCUUGAGACACCACCGGCCGUGGUGGCUCCGCUGGGUAGGCUUCAGGGAGGGAGAGGUCAGGAGUUCGAAGCCCAUGCAACGCAAGUUGCAGGGAGGCUACUGGGCCAUUAGGUGAUUGACGUGUGGCGCCGGGGUGGUGGUCUCCCUGCUAGCGACACCUGGGGGUUUACGUAGCGGCUGUUAACCAAGGCGGUUCCUCCAGCAUCAAAAAAAAAAAAAAAAAAAACAUAUAUCUUGAGACAUGAACGAUGGCUAUCGGUCAUUGGUUAUCAUCAGUGUAAAUGGUUUUGUCCAAAUUCAAUUGUGAGAUACAAACAAAAAUUGUCAAUGAACUUUAGCUGAAUAUAUAAUGCAAUCUCUCAACUUUUAAUUUAUUCAAUAUAACCUCCAAACUUCACCCCAAUAAGCAAUGCAGUUCCUAAACUUUUAAUUUAUUCAGUGUGAUCUUUGAACUUUUUGUGCAUGUUCAAUUUAAUAUCUAGGAACUAUAUGAAAAUGUUUUCAUCAAUGUGGUUAGCAGAUAAAUGGUUUUGUUCAAAUUCAAUUGCAAGAUAAGGACAAAAAUUGUCUAUCAACUUUAGCUGAAUAUAUAACGCAGUCCCUCAACUUUUAAUUUAUUUAAUGUGAUUUCCAAACUUCACCCUAAUAGGUAAUAUAGUUUCGGAACUUUUAAUUUAUUCAAUAUGAUCUCUAGACUUUUUGUACAUAUUCAAUUUAGUUUUUAAACUAUAUAAAAAUGUUCAAUAAUAUCCUUCUAUUAAUUUAAAUUCAGGGACAAUUUAUAAAGUGUACCAAAUUAAAAAUCCGCAUUGGAGUGAAGUCCAAGUGCUUAUAUUGAAAAAAUUGAAAAUCGAGGGAUUUCAUUAUAAAUUGAGUUAAAAUUCAGAUAUCGUUCCGCCAUUAUCCCUUUUAUUAUUAAAGCUUGACAGUGGGCUUCUUUGGGUGGGAUCGUGUAUUGAGUAGCUCCAGCCCCCGCGGAGACUGAGGCAUUUCUUUCCUCCUUGUACCGCCGCAUUCAUUGCACGUCUAUCAUUACACGACCGUGUCGCACAAAUGCUUCCUCGUUUUGCCUUCUUGAAUGUAUUUGAUUUCACUGUUCGUAAACGUGACUACCACUUUGCUCAUGCUUAGUAGUAACCUUUUAUGGACACCAAGGUGAACUUUAUUUGGACUGGUUCGAUCAUCUUACUCACUUCUCCCUUCACUGAACAAUUUGAGUACGGCUCAUCACCGUCUCGAGAUUAAAAUAUUCUUUUUACAGGGUAAGAUCUCUUGGCAUCUAAAUAAACCUGUAAUGUGGGCGCUUCCUAUGACAAAAAUAAAAGAUUCACCAUCACCUCCUGAACUUAUUUGAUCGAGUCUGUGUGAAGCGGGGACAAUGGCCGGUCUCUUCGGUGGGAACUUCAUAUCAGAGUCGUGAUUAGCGGUAAUAACAUACGACUUGUUAUGAUUUAUGCAAAAGUUCUCGAUUCACCAUUGAGUUCUACUUCCGUGAUCCAAUAGUUGCAAACGCCUCAAGGAACGGUUUCUCAAGAACCGUCGAUACCCUCCUUUUCGGUCGGUAUGCCUGCGAUUAAUGUUGAGCAACCUAUGUCUAUUGGUACGCUUGCGAUUAAUGUUGAGCAACCUAUGUUGCACGGACACAUUAACAUGCUUCAUCCAACACGUGUCGGAGCGACGUUGACACGCUCGGAUACGCAUUGACCGCGUGUCAGAUUUAUUGACUAGCCAUGCCCGAAGUCGUUACCUUAACCGCAAGGAGGGGGAUACCGAAGGCAGGGCUAGGGCUAGUGACUAGAGUGAAGUCGUAACAAGGUAGCUAGAUCAAGUUAUCGCUACCAUGGCCAAUAAUGUCCAAUAAUGUCCAAUAAUGUCUGGUUCUUCUGGCUGAUGCCUCGUCCCCACCGUAAUUAAAAGAGGGUACGAAUUGUUUUGGUCUAUGUAGCUGGGAAGACGAAUUAAAUAAGCGGUCGCGUUGCUUUUAUUUUCUGUUUUUACUUCUUUUGGUAAUUUGAUUGGCUUGUUAAUCAUAUGUUAUCCCACAUGAAGACUAGGAGGAGGGCCAAAAAAUCCAUCGAUGAUGAAAACGACGGGCGGUUAUAGAAUGGUGUCAAAAACCCCGUCCAUCGCAUUCGCUAACAUCUCAAUGGGUAUCGGCUUAUUGAUUGAUUUGUCAUUCUAAACUCUCAUAUAAUAUUAAAUUUGACUGUGGUCAAGAUUUUUCCUGUGUUCAUAAAUGACUCCUUUCGGGAUGGAUCAAUUAUCCAUUCCAAGAUAUUCAUUUUUGCCAUUUGUUUGCUUCUCUUUUGGAAAUCUAAGAUUGAUGUAUGUGUAAUUACAUCCGAAAAAUAUAAAUGGUUCAAUAAGAAAUAAGUGCAUUGGAAAUUUUAAAACUUAUUAGAAAAGUGCAAUCGAAUUAUAAAAUAUGUCAAAUGAAUCCAACUAAAGUCUUUCCAUUGAUUGCACUUUUGAGACUUUUAAAACUCGAUUAUACUCUCAUGAUAAAUUUUAAAACUUUUACUAUACUUAUCCCGUUAAUCUAUUGUGUUUUCCCUGAUAGAAUCGAAGGAGCUUGUUUCGUUCUUUGCCUCCCACCCACCCUCCCCGGCAAAGAAAAAGGUUCUCUGUCUCCAUCUGUUUUUCUUCUUGGGAAGGGAGAGGUAGGGACAAGUUUAGCAGGCAUUAAUGAAAUCGAAAUCGAAGUGACGAGAGUAUUUCCUUCUCCUCUCUUUCCCUAGCUCGCAGGGACUGUUAUGUGCAUGCAUGCCCGGACUAAGCAACGAGGGACGAUGAUUAACAUCGUUUCAAAGCCUCAAAUUCUUGCUCAGAUCUGAUAUUAAAACCUAAUACCAAUUACCGCUGUCGCCUAGCUACUCUGAAAGCUCUGGACAGUCGAUAAAUAGCUUCGUCUUCUCCAUGCUUACCUGAGGAAAAACCAAAGCAAGCUCUCUCUCUCUCUCUCUCACUCUCUCUCUCGUUGUUGUGCUCUUCUUCCUCUCCUUCUCCUUCUCCUUUAUAUUCUUGUUGAGUUAGAGAGGUUGUGCUAGCGAGAACGUGCCCGUCGAGAAGAUGUCAAGCUUUAGGAAACCCUUUGGCUUAUCUUCUCCUUUAUAUGCGGUUAUCUUGGUCUCCCUUGCCCUCGUCGCUCGCGGGAGGCUCGCCUCCUCGGCACGGCCCAGGCCCCGGCCGCCCCUGCUGGCGUACAUCGCGUUCGGUGACUCCAUCAUCGACCCCGGGAACAACAACAACAUACAGACGAUAGUCAAGUGCAACUUCCCACCGUACGGGCGGGAUUUCAUGGGGGGGAAACCGUCCGGGAGGUUCUCCAACGGGAAGAUCCCGCCGGACCUGUUUGGUAAUAUGCAUAAAAAUCCAUCUGCUUUGAACUAGUUUCAAAAGCGGGAAAAAUCGAUCACUUGAGUUCAUGUUAUUAUCAUCUUGAGGUGACCAGUGUGUUUUCACCUGUAGUGAAUAGGGAUACUGAUAGAUGCAUGACUUGUGCCAUUUCCCCCACCUUUGAACUCUUUUGCGUUGAUCUUUCAAGUGUAACCAUAGAUUAGUCAGGGCGAGGUAAGCUUGAGCCUCCAACAUGCGCUAUUUUAUUUCAUAAAAACAUGUAAUUCUAUGAAUGAACCUAAUAACUUUUUAAAGAGUGCGUUUGUUUCAUAAAAAACUCCAUGAUAAAAAAGAAAAAAAAAUGUACUUUUUAGUUUUCCUUUAUUUGGUGAUUUUCCGACACAUUUCGGGAAUAUGAUUAGUUUUCCUUUAUUUGGUCAUGUAUAAUCGAAAAUAUUUUAUGAUGUUUGGAUCUCAUUGGAUAAAGAUUUCAAUCUCAUGACUUUAUUUUAGGCAAAAAAAUCGAAAUUUUUUAUUAAUGUUUUUAUUUGUAUAUAAAAAUCGAACUUUUAAUUACUUUUACUUUAUUUUCUUUAAAAGUUUGAAUUUUUAAUUUCUCUUCUUUUCUCUUUACUUUUUCUUUUUUCUUUUUUUCUUUUUCCGACUUUCUCCGCUACAACCGACCAACGAAGGCCAUGGGCAAGCUUUAAGCUUACUUGGAUCCGGCGAGCCUUAACUUGUCGACUCGACUAGCUCGAGCUCACCUAGAUCAACCAAGCCUUGAGCUUGUCAAUCGCGUCAUGGUCGGCUAGUGGAGGAAGAAGGAAAAUAAUAAUAAUAAUAAUAAUAAUAAUAAUAAUAAAUUCAAAAAAAAUUAUAAAAUAAAAAUAAAUCAAUUUAUUUUACCCAACAAAUUUAUUUUAAGAAGAAUAAUUUUUAUAAUUAAAUUUUCAUAAACCAAGGAUCCUAAAACUAGGAAAAAAUUUAGGAAAACAUUUUUUUGGUUCUUUUAGAGGGGAAACCAUUUUCUUAAAUUUAAGUUUUGAUAGAAAAACAUUUUUCAUUGAUUAAAAAAUUAUUUUUCAUUAACUCAUUUUCCUAACAAACCAAACACUAAAAAUUGAGGAAAAUGUUUUCCAUGAAUUGCUUUUUGCAAAACAACUAGACCCUAGUGAAAAACAAUGUGUUAUAAUAGACAUCAAAUUAUAAAUCUAUUGUAUUUGUGCCAAUUUAACAUAAACUUUUCAAUUAGAUCAAUUUAGACCUAAAUCUUUUCCGUUUGUGCCAAUUAAGUCUAUCUAGUCAAUUUCGACUGGAAAUUGCUAACAUAGAUGCCAGUCAUACCAUGUAACACGACCAACAUAAACAUGGAUAAUUUUUUUUUAUUUUUUAGAGUUCUUUUUUACUUUUCUUUUUCCUUUUUUUUUCUUUUCUUUUCUUCUUUUCUUUCCUUCUUUAUUUUUCCCAACUAUGGGCUGGCAAGUUUGCCGACCGACCAUUGCCGAUCACAUAAGAGAACCGGCGACCCUCACCUGGUCUAGGCAAGGCAAGGAUCGUGAUGCCUUCUUUUGGUAUGAGAUUUCUCUAAGGUUGACAAAAAAUGAAAAGAAGAAGAAAAGAAAAGAAGAUGUUUUUUUUUUUAGCGGUACUAGUCCCUCUCCUUUCCAUCAAGAUGAUGUUUCUAAUUCCUAUGCCGAUUGAUGUUUGUGCAAAUUUGUUGCCGGUCUCUUUGGAGGAUUGUCUAUGGUACAAGUACGAUGCCAAUGCAAGUUUACGAGGUUUCGUCGUGUGAUUUUUCUUUGUUAAUUUAUCCAAAUUCAAAAGAACGCCUUUCAAAAUAAAUUGCGAGGUACCAACACUUUUUUAACAUUUUACCAUAGCAAACGUUAUUAACCCGAUUUUACGAAUCUUGGGACAAAAUUUUCUCCAGUCGAAGCAUUUGGAGUUAAACAGUACUUGCCUGCUUAUUUGGACCCGAGUCUCAAAUUAGAAGACCUCCUCACCGGCGUCAGCUUCGCUUCCGGCGCCACCGGUUACGAUCCUCUCACUCCACAAAUCGCCGUAAGCUCUCUCUCCUCCCGAUCUGCUCUUAGAAUUCGACCCUCCUUUCUUUGUUUUCUUGGUAAUUAGGAAUUUAGGGAUUGUCUUAGGCUUGUGCGUCGGUAGGCGUCAAUACAUGUGAAAGAAUAAUCGUUAUGACACCGAGGAGCGUCGGUGUGUGCUAGUGUGCGCGCUGUAUAAACACCAGGCCUCCUCACGAGUUGCUCGAGCUUUGUUUAGUCCAGCUCGAUCUUUUUGCAAUCAAAUGGAAUCACCUGAAAUUUCUUCCAUCAUAUAAUUAUUCUGGCAGUCGGCCUUGUCGCUAUCGGAUCAACUAAACUUGUUCAAGGAGUACGUGAACAAGAUAAAAUCGGGUGCCGGAGAAGAGAAGGCGGCGGACAUCGUCAAGAAUAGCGUCUACAUGGUGGUGUGCGGGAGCGACGACAUCGCAAACACUUACUACUCGACUCCAUUCAGGCGAGGGGAAUACGACAUACCGGCCUACACCGAUCUCAUGCUCAACUCGGCUUCAAGUUUCAUUCAGGUAAAGUCUUGAAAGAGAAACAUUCUUUACGAACAAUGAUGACGACGAGGACGAAGAAAGACCAAAAGACAUGAUAAUAUAGGGAUUAAAUUGCAAGACAGAACUGAUUCUGAAGUACUGGUGUACGAUUUAGCAGGAGCUCUAUGGAUUAGGAGCAAGAAAGAUUGGCAUCCUGAGCCUACCACCGAUCGGAUGUGUGCCUGCACAGAGAACGCUUGAUGGAGGAUUAGAAAGAGCCUGUAAUGCGCCCGCCAAUCAAGCAGCAACCCUCUUCAACUCCAAGCUCUCCUCAGAACUCGAAUCCCUCAAACAGAAGCUCCCUGGCUCUAAACUAGUCUAUAUGGACAUCUACCAUAAAUUGCUUUCCGUCAUCCAAAACCCUUCGCACUACGGUAACUCGCUGCGUUAUAUACUCUCUCUACACAAGAUUUUGGCUUUUGCAUUCGAAUCUCUAUCGUCAUGCCGUCGGUCAGCCUCAUGUUUUGGUCAUGUCGAUGCAUGUGUGCAGGAUUCGAAGUGGCAGAUAGAGGGUGCUGCGGCACGGGGAACAUAGAAGUGAGCAUACUGUGCAACCGUCUAGACGAUCUCGAGACAUGCCAAGAUGACUCGAAGUACGUCUUCUGGGACGGUUACCAUCCGACGGAAAAUGCCUAUAAGAUCCUAUCGGAUCAUGUGAUCGACAAUUAUGCCGACCAGCUUUUAUGAGACCGCUCGGAUUUAUUAGUUGUUUACAGGUGAAGUGGAUUAGAUAGUACACCUCGAUCGACAAUUAUGCCGACCAGCUUUUAUGAGACCGCUCGGAUUUAUUAGUUGUUUACAGGUGAAGUGGAUUAGAUAGUACACCUCGAAGCUUCCAUAAGGCCCCCCUGCUUCUUGUUGCAGAUUGAAGUUUCCAUAAGGUUCCCAGCUUCUUGUUGCAGAUUGAAGUUUCCAUAAGGUCCCCAGCUUCUUGUUAUAGAUUGUAACAGAGGCAGUAGAAUAUCGCACCUAUCUUCCAGCCAUCUUAUUUAUUUUGUUCGGCUCAACAAAAGUGUGAAACAUUGAACUCUUCAUUCAAAAUACUUUCAUUAUCGGAAAUAUGAUGGUACUUAAGCGAAUGUCUCCUUACCUUCAUGCUGCGGGUAAGUUGGGUACCUUGAAACUUUAGAGAAUGUCUGAGAUACUAUCUUAAGGUAUUCCAUCAAUUACUCCUCACAUGGUGGUCCUGCAGCUAAAAUAACAAUAAUUCAUUGUCCAAAACAGAAGAAAAAGAAGAGCAAAGCACAAAAAGCCUGCUCAAUAUUGUGAUUGAGACUAGGUGUAAAGAGAUGUAACAAGCUUUUCCAACCUGCCUGUAUCUCCCUUUGUCCUUUGGUAGUUCUACCGGUAAGCAGCUGCUUUUGUUGGAUCCUUCC
This 9821-nucleotide long non-coding RNA is filed under the name Eucalyptus grandis. RNAcentral's name for it is "long non-coding RNA (EGRA_LNC006074)". The record is from RNAcentral. Lineage: Eukaryota; Viridiplantae; Streptophyta; Magnoliopsida; Myrtales; Myrtaceae.